Molecule: long non-coding RNA, 378 nt
Filed under: Lotus japonicus
Lineage: Eukaryota; Viridiplantae; Streptophyta; Magnoliopsida; Fabales; Fabaceae
Description: long non-coding RNA (LJAP_LNC000067)
Source: RNAcentral
UUCGGUUAAGCCAUAUUUUGAAGUUGUGAUUAGUAAAUGUUACAAUAAUUGGUAUGUGAUUUAAAAUAGAUUGAGUUAAAUAAAUUGAUUGAAUAAAUAUGAUAAAUUGAAGAACUGCUCGUCCGUGCAUUGCACGGAGACGGGCUAAAAUCCUAGUUCAUAUAUAUAGAGAUAUACCUCAUCUCCCUGUAUCCGAAUAACCAAUUUGUAUCACACAAAUGGACAUUAUCAUCACAUUCAUAAUCACACUUACCUACAUACUCCUCCUUCUCCCUUACAAACUUUCCAUAGCAGCUGAGGACUCCAUUCAUUUAUCACAACCCCUCACCCAUGGCCAAACCUGGGUGUCCCAACAUGAACCUUUGAACUCGUUUCUUC